This 492-nucleotide ribosomal RNA is filed under the name uncultured bacterium. Its description in RNAcentral is "partial 16S ribosomal RNA". It matches the Rfam family "Bacterial small subunit ribosomal RNA", at positions 29 to 507 of the family's 1533-position model. The record is from RNAcentral.
AGUGAACGCUGGCGGUAGGCCUAACACAUGCAAGUCGAACGGCAGCACAGUAAGAGCUCGCUCUUACGGGUGGCGAGUGGCGGACGGGUGAGGAAUACAUCGGAAUCUACUUUUUCGUGGGGGAUAACGUAGGGAAACUUACGCUAAUACCGCAUACGACCUACGGGUGAAAGCAGGGGAUCUUCGGACCUUGCGCGAUUGAAUGAGCCGAUGUCGGAUUAGCUAGUUGGCGGGGUAAAGGCCCACCCAGGCGACGAUCCGUAGCUGGUCUGAGAGGAUGAUCAGCCACACUGGAACGGAGACACGGUCCAGACUCCUACGGGAGGCAGCAGUGGGGAAUAUUGGACAAUGGGCGCAAGCCUGAUCCAGCCAUACCGCGUGGGUGAAGAAGGCCUUCGGGUUGUAAAGCCCUUUUGUUGGGAAAGAAAAGCAGCAGGUUAAUACCCCGCUGUUCUGACGGUACCCAAAGAAUAAGCACCGGCUAACUUCGUG